UGCCCUACGGGAGGCAGCAGUGGGGAAUAUUGGGCAAUGGGGGAAACCCUGACCCAGCGACGCCGCGUGAGGGAAGAAGGUUUUCGGAUUGUAAACCUCUGUCCUUGGUGACGAUAAUGACGGUAGCCAAGGAGGAAGCCACGGCUAACUACGUGCCAGCAGCCGCGGUAAUACGUAGGUGGCGAGCGUUGUCCGGAAUUACUGGGUGUAAAGGGAGCGUAGACGGCCAGACAAGUCUGAAGUGAAAAUCCAGCGCUUAACGUUGGAAGUGCUUUGGAAACUGCCGGGCUAGAGUGCAGGAGGGG
This 305-nucleotide ribosomal RNA is filed under the name uncultured bacterium. RNAcentral describes it as "bacterial SSU rRNA". It matches the Rfam family "Bacterial small subunit ribosomal RNA", at positions 335 to 657 of the family's 1533-position model. The record is from RNAcentral.